Molecule: ribosomal RNA, 499 nt
Filed under: uncultured bacterium
Lineage: Bacteria
Description: bacterial SSU rRNA
Rfam family: Bacterial small subunit ribosomal RNA
Source: RNAcentral
ACUCAAAGGAAUUGACGGGGACCCGCACAAGCAGCGGAGCAUGUGGUUUAAUUCGAAGCAACGCGAAGAACCUUACCAAGACUUGACAUCGCAUGACCGCCGUAGAGAUACGGCUUCCGUAGCAAUACGGCAUGUAGACAGGUGGUGCAUGGUUGUCGUCAGCUCGUGUCGUGAGAUGUUCGGUUAAGUCCGGCAACGAGCGCAACCCUUAUGAUAUGUUGCCAAUAUUAAGUUAGGAACUCAUAUCAGACUGCCGUGGACAACACGGAGGAAGGCGGGGACGACGUCAAAUCAUCAUGCCCCUUACGUCUUGGGCUACACACGCGCUACAAUGGCUACUACAAAGAGCAGCGAGCAGGCAACUGUAAGCGAAUCUCAUAAAAGUAGUCUCAGUUCAGAUUGUGGGCUGCAACCCGCCCACAUGAAGUAGGAGUUGCUAGUAAUCCCGAAUCAGAAUGUCGGGGUGAAUGCGUUCCCGGGUCUUGUACACACCGCCCGU